This 227-nucleotide long non-coding RNA is filed under the name Lathyrus oleraceus (garden pea). RNAcentral describes it as "Pisum sativum (pea) long non-coding RNA (PSAT_LNC006824)". Lineage: Eukaryota; Viridiplantae; Streptophyta; Magnoliopsida; Fabales; Fabaceae. The record is from RNAcentral.
CUUGACAAAAGGAAGAAUAUACUAACUCAAGGGUUAAAGGUUAAUAUUUUGAUUAAAUGAUUAAGUUAGACAUGUUAUAAUGAUUAAUAUAUAAUAUGGACAAGUUAACAAUAAGGGUUAGUUGGUUAGUAUAACAAUAAUAACAACAUGGAACAAGUGAAACCAUAAGUUAGUAUGUACACAGACAAAGCUUCAUUUAUGUGUCAAAUUAUCCAAGUUGGUUGAUA